This 460-nucleotide ribosomal RNA is filed under the name uncultured bacterium. RNAcentral describes it as "partial 16S ribosomal RNA". It matches the Rfam family "Bacterial small subunit ribosomal RNA", at positions 338 to 795 of the family's 1533-position model. The record is from RNAcentral.
CCUACGGGAGGCAGCAGUGAGGAAUAUUGGUCAAUGGACGAGAGUCUGAACCAGCCACGUAGCGUGAAGGAUGACUGCCCUAUGGGUUGUAAACUUCUUUUAUAUGGGAAUAAAAUGUUCCACGUGUGGGAUUUUGUAUGUACCAUAUGAAUAAGGAUCGGCUAACUCCGUGCCAGCAGCCGCGGUAAUACGGAGGAUCCGAGCGUUAUCCGGGUUUAUUGGGUUUAAAGGGAUCGUAGGUGGAUUGUUAAGUCAGUUGUGAAAGUUUGGGGCUCAACCGUAACAUUGCAGUGGAAACUGGCAGUCUUGAGUACAGUAGAGGUGAGUGGAAUUCGUGGUGUAGCGGUGAAAUGCUUAGAUAUCACGAAGAACUCCGAUGGCGAAGGCAGUUCACUGGACUGCAACUGACACUGAGGCUCGAAAGUGUGGGUAGCAAACAGGAUUAGAUACCCGGGUAGUC